UGGCGGCGCGCCUAACACAUGCAAGUCGAACGGCACCCAUCUUCGGAUGGAAGCGAGUGGCGAACGGCUGAGUAACACGUGGAGAACCUGCCCCCUCCCCCGGGAUAGCCGCCCGAAAGGACGGGUAAUACCGGAUACCCCGGGGUGCCGCAUGGCACCCCGGCUAAAGCCCCGACGGGAGGGGAUGGCUCCGCGGCCCAUCAGGUAGACGGCGGGGUGACGGCCCACCGUGCCGACAACGGGUAGCCGGGUUGAGAGACCGACCGGCCAGAUUGGGACUGAGACACGGCCCAGACUCCUACGGGAGGCAGCAGUGGGGAAUCUUGCGCAAUGGGGGGAACCCUGACGCAGCGACGCCGCGUGCGGGACGGAGGCCUUCGGGUCGUAAACCGCUUUCAGCAGGGAAGAGUCAAGACUGUACCUGCAGAAGAAGCCCCGGCUAACUACGUGCCAGCAGCCGCGGUAAUACGUAGGGGGCGAGCGUUAUCCGGAUUCAUUGGGCGUAAAGCGCGCGUAGGCGGCCCGGCAGGCCGGGGGUCGAAGCGGGGGGCUCAACCCCCCGAAGCCCCCGGAACCUCCGCGGCUUGGGUCCGGUAGGGGAGGGUGGAACACCCGGUGUAGCGGUGGAAUGCGCAGAUAUCGGGUGGAACACCGGUGGCGAAGGCGGCCCUCUGGGCCGAGACCGACGCUGAGGCGCGGAAGCUGGGGGAGCGAACAGGAUUAGAUACCCUGGUAGUCCCAGCCGUAAACGAUGGACGCUAGGUGUGGGGGGACGAUCCCCCCGUGCCGCAGCCAACGCAUUAAGCGUCCCGCCUGGGGAGUACGGCCGCAAGGCUAAAACUCAAAGGAAUUGACGG
Molecule: ribosomal RNA, 857 nt
Filed under: uncultured bacterium
Lineage: Bacteria
Description: bacterial SSU rRNA
Rfam family: Bacterial small subunit ribosomal RNA
Source: RNAcentral